Helianthus annuus (common sunflower) is the source of this 224-nucleotide long non-coding RNA. RefSeq lists it as uncharacterized. The record is from RefSeq and is a predicted model, not a curated record. NCBI's taxonomy places the organism in Eukaryota, Viridiplantae, Streptophyta, Magnoliopsida, Asterales, Asteraceae. The transcript has 3 exons.
UUCCCAUACCGUGGGGGGACAUCGUCGUACGGUAGCACCGCCUAUAAAAAUAAUUUGGAUUGGGUACCUACGUAUGCUAAAACCCACACGGACAAUCAAGGGAAUUGGGUUGAUCCGGUUGCUGAACAAAAUUACCGGAACAUACAACAGGCCACAGAUGAAUGGAGCGGCGAUGGUCCUCCAAUUGCCCCGUAUCAAGAAGCGUUGGGAGAGCGGGGAGGAUG